RNAcentral lists this ribosomal RNA (664 nucleotides) under uncultured Gammaproteobacteria bacterium. RNAcentral's name for it is "bacterial SSU rRNA". It matches the Rfam family "Bacterial small subunit ribosomal RNA", at positions 31 to 692 of the family's 1533-position model. The record is from RNAcentral. Lineage: Bacteria; Pseudomonadati; Pseudomonadota; Gammaproteobacteria.
UGACGCUGGCGGCAGGCCUAACACAUGCAAGUCGAGCGCGAAAUCACUUCGGUGAGAGUAGAGCGGCGGACGGGUGAGUAAUGCUUGGGAAUCUGCCCGGUAGUGGGGGAUAACGUGUGGAAACGCACGCUAAUACCGCAUACGUCCUACGGGAGAAAGCAGGGGAUCUUCGGACCUUGCGCUAUCGGAUGAGCCCAAGUCGGAUUAGCUAGUUGGUGGGGUAAAGGCUCACCAAGGCGACGAUCCGUAGCUGGUCUGAGAGGAUGAUCAGCCACAUCGGGACUGAGACACGGCCCGAACUCCUACGGGAGGCAGCAGUGGGGAAUAUUGGACAAUGGGCGCAAGCCUGAUCCAGCCAUGCCGCGUGUGUGAAGAAGGCUCUAGGGUUGUAAAGCACUUUCAGUGGGGAGGAUAAGUUAUCGGCCAAUACCCGGUAAUGCAGACGUUACCCACAGAAGAAGCACCGGCAAACUCCGUGCCAGCAGCCGCGGUAAUACGGAGGGUGCGAGCGUUAAUCGGAAUUACUGGGCGUAAAGCGCGCGGUAGGCGGUUUGAUAAGCUGGAUGUGAAAUCCCCGGGCUCAACCUGGGAACUGCAUCCAGAACUGUUUGACUAGAGUACAGUAGAGGGUGGCGGAAUUUCCUGUGUAGCGGUGAAAUGCGUA